UACGCUUGAAUAAUUACGGUGAAACCUUUUAUAAUGUCAAUUUUGAAAGAAAGAAAUGCUAGAAGUUUUGAAGGUAAGCAAAAUUCAUCACAAAAGCUCAAGAUGAGUCGUAUUCAAAUGUUCUAUCGUUGAUGUAAUAAACUAGAUUAGAGGAGACAAAUUCCCUCGAUAGUCUAGAUAGGUCCCUAUAAAUUCCUUUUGCACAGUCAAGAUGUUCGCUUACUUGUAUUUAUGGUGCUGCCAACUUAGUGUUGAUUAUGUAUAUGUAUGUUACCAAUCUAAAAGAAAAACUAUAGUAGAAGAUACAUUCCUAUUUAAUAUUCCGUUGUGACGGCUUUGUGUAUGUAUAUGGAUUUCAACAUUCUUAUCAUUUAGUGCUAAUUUCAAAGGAGUCCCUUUUUUAAAUUUAUUGCCUUAAAAGUUGUGCAACUGAUUCCUUUGUUUCGUUACUUAUAUUAGAAAUAUCUAUCCUGUUGAAUUAAUUGAUCAAAUAUUUUCAUGAAUUCUCGUGAAUCAUAUGUAAUAUAAUAUGCAUGAUGAUUUUUCGACUCUUUUCUUUCAGUUUUCUUCAUCUUUUUUUAUUUCUUUUUUUUGGGUUGGGUGGGGUAGGGAGAUUGAAUACAUUUGUCGCUUCCCCUCUAUGAUAAAUUUCCCCAUUAUCCUGUCUUGUUUCGUCCACCAUCUCAAGAGUGAUUUGCUCAUUGCGGGAACAAUAGGAUCCGAUUUCACACCACAUAUUAUCGUUGUGAAAACCGAAGAGGUUACCUCUUUAUUCUUAGUAUUUUCUUUGAAUGCUAUAUAGAAAAUCCUUUUUCUGACUUGAAGAACAUUUAAUUUCUUAUGAAACUUGGAAAUAGCCAUCAGCACUCUUAUGUUUUGAACUACUAUAAUUCCAUAGUAGUUUUGUUGUCAAUAAAUUCAAAAAAAUUGGUAAAAGUUGACUUGGCUAGAAGUCGCAGACAGUAUCUUAGGAAAAGAGUUAUAGAGUGUCAAGCUCUCAAAUGAUGGCCAAAAAUUUAUUUUAUACUGAUUACAAGUCAUUUUAGUAACGAGUCUUGUAUUGCUGACACAAAGAAUAGAUUGUGAAAAAUGUGUUUCUAAAAGGAAUUUCUUCAAAUGUGGCAUCCCUAGUAAAUGAGCAUAACUUUAAGUCAAUAUGACUAACAUAUCCCUUAGAAAAGUUUUUAUGGUGUGUCGUUUAAAGAAACUCCAUAAGUUUUAUUGACUUCCGAAUACUAAAAGCUAUUCUAAAAAAACCCUAAAAGUUACUAUUAACCGAAGAUACUCUAAACCAGUGUCAUUAAAGGUCAUUUCAUGCUUAAAGAGAUGGAAAGAUACGAUGCAGGAUGAUUAAUUAGAUCUAUUGUUAAUAAGUAAAUUUGGAGAUAGCUUCAUAGGUUAUAUAAGUCGAUCUCAGGAGUAGCGUUCUUUAUUACUUCUACCUUCCUCUCUCAAUUAUUUUCUAACCAAACAAGGACGGUGCCCUUUGACCCUCAUUUUCUUGCCCAGUAGCCAUGAAACCCCUCGUCUUAGCACCCAACCAAAUAUAAAGGUAGCUCUUUGGUGAUGCGGAUCUAAAAUAUCUGCAUGUGAUUAUUGUUUGGACUCUUACGAGUUACCUUGCUACUUAUUGCUAGUGGGAUAUAGUAGGUAUACCGUUAAAUUAGUCAAGAUGAGCGCAAGCUAGGCCGAACAAACAUAAAUAAUUAACUACUUUCGAAAUAAAGUACUAUUGGCAACUAAAUAGCUUAUCUGUCCUAGCUUCAAUGGAUAGAGUUAAUUUUCUACGUGUUUCUAAUGGGAAGUAGCAAGUAUCCCAUUAAAUUAGCGGAGGUAAGUCUACUUUUGAAAUAAAGUGUUAUGACAACGAAAUAUCUCAUUUGUCCUAGCCUCAAUAGACAGUUACUUCGCUACGAGUCGCUAGUGGCAGGUAGCAAGUAUCCCGUUAAAUUAGUCGAGGUACGUCUACUUGUGAAAUGAAGUGUUAUGACAACUAAAUAUCUCAUCUGUCCUAGUCUCAGUAGACAGAGUUACUUUACUACGAGUUGAUAGUGGGAGGUAGCAAGUACCCCGUUAAAUCAGUCGAGGUAAAUCUACUUUUGAAAUAACGUAUUAUGACAGCUAAAUAUCUCAUCUAUCCUAUCCGUAGUGGACAGGGUUACUUUGUUACGUGUUGUCGCAAGUAUCCUGUUAAAUUAGUCGAGGUACGUAUACUUUUCAAAUAAAGUAUUAUGACAACUAAAUGGCUCAUCUGUCCUAUACUUGGCAGACAGGAUUACCUAAUACCUAUUGCUGGAAUUAGUCCAAGCUAGCCUGAACAAAAAUAAUGAUCAACUACUUUUGAAAUAAAGUUUUAGGUGGCAGGUAUCACGUGGAUUUUGUCGAGGUGAGCAAAAACUGGCUCGGACUCCACAGUUAUUAAAAAAAAAAAAAAGGAAAAAAAAUAUGAAUAUGAAUAAACAUGAACAAGUUGGAGAGGCUUACCGGAAAUUUCAAUUUGUUGCUUUUCGCCGGAAUUCACCGCAGCUUCCGGCGGCGGACGGCGAAGCAGCUAAAACCUUCACAAAGCUCCUUAAAAUCCAUUAGCAGGAAUGACAUAUUUUAGGAGGUAGUUUACUUUUCACCUUUAUAUUUAUCCUUAUAAAUCUUAUUCAAGUUUUGACCUUUAAAUCCCUGGUUUUAAUAUUUAUCCUUGUAAGUUUAUUUAAUUUUUGACCUUUAAAUUUCUGGUUUAAAUAAUUAUCCUUAUGUGUCUUAUUUAAUUUCUGGCCUUUAAAUCUCGGUUUUAAUGUUUAUCCUUAUAAGUUUUAUUUAAUUUUGACCUUUAAAUCACGGAUUUUAAUAUUUGUGCCUUUUCUCUUUUCUCUAUCAACUUCGAUAAAACUAAUAAAUCAGGGCGAGCUCUUACUUUAUAAGUCUCAAUUUAUGUGAACACUGUUUCAUUGCUUUUACUUGUCGCUUUUUGACACAUUCAUUCAUUAGGAAAAUAAUUAUUGAUAUGUCUAUUUUAUCAUAUUAUUUCUGUUAAUUGAUGUUUAGAGUAAUACGUCUUGAAAAUGAUUUGAAAAAUAAGCAAUUAAUGCUAAUGAUAAAAUUAAAAAAAAAACUCCUUUGUCUUUUCUUAAUAUGUCAAAAAUAAUAAGAAAAAAUAAAAAUUCAAUUAGGAAAAUAGUGACGAGUAAAAGCGAACAGAGAGGGUAAAUAAAUUUUUUCCCCAAUGCACACUAUUAAUGAAAAUAAACUAGGACAUAAAUAAAACUUUACUUUCCAUUUUAUCCUUAUAGAUAUUACUUAUCCGACUACUCUUGAAAGUUCAAACUACAUUAAAGUAAAGUCAAUUAAGUUUUUUGAAAAUCAUAACUUAAAAGUGUAAAUAAAGGAUAAAAUUGAAAGAAAUUUCAACAUAUAUCUUGAAGAUUGAACAAUUCACUUAUUUUGGACAUUAAAAAAUAGCUCAAUAAUUUACUUAUUUUAAACUAGAGGGAGUAAAAAAUUUUCAUUAUCCUAUCGAGAGUCUACCGAAAAGAAUCUCUCCAUGCCUGGUGGCGGAUCUAGAAUUUAGAGAUUGUGGGUGCCUCAAGGAGGUUCAAACCCACACAUUAAAGUUCAAAGUUUUAAGGUUCCGCUUAAAAACCAAAACACACAUCUAUACUCUUGAUAUUUAGGGUGGUUUUUUUACUUCUAUAUCAAAUUUUACAUGAAUUUUUUUAUAAAUUAUAUUUAGUAUACGUCUCGUUUAAUGAGUCCUAAAACAUCACAAAAAUGCAUAUAGGUCUGGCCUGCACCAUAAAAUAGAAAUAUAAUGUAAAAUUAUACCGGAUAUAUUAUUGUUCGAAAAUAAUUUGUCCGUCCGAAUCUAUACAACUCAAAUUAGAAGUUCAAUUAGAAAGACAAGAAAGUUCAACAAGCAAAAGAUUAGAGUGUAAUUUAUUGGUAGAAAAAUGUGAUUUCUUACACUUAUAAUUUGGAUAGAAAAAAAUAAUUAUCCCAAAUAUCGUAGUUAAAAAUGAAAUGUAUAUAAGUGUGACUUUACAAAACCAAAUUCUUAUUGUAUCCAAAUAAAAUCCAAACAUAUGAAUAAAGGAUAUGCCUUUUAGUACCAAAUUUCAUCCGCUAUGAAUUAAGAAAACGCCGACGCUCAAUGUCUUUGUAUCGCAACUUAUGAAGCGCAGCCUUUGCUAUUCGCCACUCAAUUUUCGAAUUCUUUCUUCACAUUAUAAUGAGUUAAAUAUUGCGGGUGAUUACUUUUCAAUUACAUGGAGAUCAUUGCAGGCCUCCGGGUACAUGACUGGAACCGGCCCAAUGAGGAAUAAAAUGUACAGAACUGGGCCAAAUUGUUACUACUCGAGAAGAAGAAGCCAAGACAUAAAAUGGACCCAAGGCUAGAGGGACAAUGCGCUUUUAAUGAAAAAGGCAGUUUCAGUGCACUAAAGCUCCCAUUAUGCAUGAAGUUCGGGGAAAAAACCGGAUCUUAAGGGUCUAUUGACGCAGUCUUACCUUGCAUUUCUGCCAAAGUCUGUUUCCACAACUUGAACUCAUGACCUCCUUGUCAAAAUGCACUUAAAAACUGAAUUCCACACGGCAUAACUCGUACUUUGCACCAUCAAAGCUUAUAAUCGAAUCUUCAUGACCUCCUGGUCACAAUGCACUUAAAAAUUAAAUUCCAAACUACAUAACGCAUACUUUGCACCAUCAAAGCUUAUAGCCUAGUCCUCAUGACCUCCUGAUUGCAAUGCACUUAAGAACUGAAUUCCAAACAGCAUAACUCGUACUUUGCACUAUCAAAGCUUAUGGUCCAGUCCUCAUACGCUUCUGGUCACUAUCAAAGCUUAUGGUCCAGUCCUCAUACGCUUCUGGUCACAAUGCUCUUAAAAUCUGAUUUCCAAACAACACAGUACUUUGCACCAUCAAAGCUUAUAGUCUAGUCCUUAUGACCUCCUGGUCACAAUGCACUUAAAAACUGAAUUUCAAACAACAUAACUCGUACUUUAGACCAUCAAAGCUUAUAGUCUAGUCGUAUCAAUGGAGUUCAUCCAUACAAUAGGUGCCGCUUACAUUCUUAUUCGCCUAUUUCAUCUUCCCUUUAGCAAACUAUGUGUGAGAUAAGACGGAUUCAAAAUUUGAAGUUAAAGAUGCAGAAUCAACUAGGAUUGUCUCACUAUUCCUUUGUUACUGAACCACAUAUUAGUAACACUGUAAAUUAAUCUAAAUUGUUCAAAUAUAACCAAUCAAGCUGAGAUACUAAAAUGAAAGUGGUAUUAUUCACUUGAAAGUGUUUACUUCAAGCACCAAAGUGAACAAGUACCCAACAUGACUUAAAAAAGGUGAAACAAAGAAGAUGAUUACAAUACUUGAACAUACAAGUACAACUUUAAACUUAUUCAGUUUCCAACAUCAUCGUAAUAAAACACAAGACAUCCAAAGUUCGGUACAAAAUACAACAUUAUUGUAGUAAAAAGCAGUACAGUUUACAGCACCAACGCGAACGUUUUCUUGUAUUAGUCCUUCAGCAUUGCAACUUGAAACAUUUCCCGUUUCCAACUGUUUUCAUCUUCACAUUGUUGGCUUCACAGUGAGAUGAGAAGCGACCUUCUGACCACAAGACUUGUCAGCCUGCAAUGUAUUCAUACAAAAAGAUAGGUUUUGUUUACCGUGCUUCAUUAGGACCGAAGAAUCAUGGUAAAGAAGGGAAAAACUCAAACCUGAGACAAGUACGAUAUCCAUAUACUGCGUAUCUCAUGAGUGACUCAGGGAUCGGAUAAAGACUCAACCCAUUUGUUGAUAUAUCUGUCUUGCCUGAAAUAGCAAGGUUACUCAGUUAUCCCCGCGUGUUUAAGAGGGGGGAGAAUGGCCAUAUUAAUAUGAAGAAGAACCAAAUUACCUGUCAGGUGCCCAGGAUCUGUAUCUCUCCCCUGCCUGCUUGAAGUUGUUCUCUUUCGGAAUGACACACUAAAAAACCAAUAACAUACAUAUGUGAGUGAAAUUAAACUCAUUCAUAGAUUAAUAAAACACGAUUUAUACAGAUGAACAAUAAGAAAGAUUGGCCUCACCAUUUGACGCCUUCCUGUCAAGACACAAGAAGGAAUUGGGUACUGCUAGGCAGGACGACAAGGAUCAAACCUUGAGGGCAAAUAAUCCACCUGGAAAAUUUAGUUAUACAUCAGAAGAAUUCUAAUAGGAACUUGCAAUGUGCCUUGUAAAGUCAAUAAUGUUCAAAAACUCACAUGCCACCUUACAGUUCAGAGGACAACGAAAAUAUAAGGAAAAAAAUAAAAUAGCACUAGUUGACUGGUGCGUAAUACCUCCACAUCGCGAUGCAUGAAGUUCAUGGCACCAUCACGGUGGUUAUUUUGAUGAGCACACUUGGGAGCGUUAACUAGGAGCUGCAUAUAGUUUAGUCCAAUAAGGUGUCUCUGAGUAUCAGCAUAUGCAAAUAUCCUAGUCUGGAGAAGCUUAUCCUCCGAAUAGUAGAUACCAGGGACAAUAUGUCCAGGGUUAAAUGCGAGCUGCUCGUUCUCUGCAAAGAAGUUAUCGAUGUUCCUAUUCAAUACCAAUCGACCAACUGGCAUCAAUGGCAAGAUAUCCUCAGGCCAAGUCUUGGUUACGUCAAGAGGGUCAAAGUCGAAUUUGUCAACAUCCUCGGGAUCCAUAAUUUGGAUAAAAAGUUUCCACUCAGGGUAGUUGCCAGCAGCAAUUGAAUAGUAAGAUCCUUGGUGGAGUGGCUAUGAUUAGUACCUACGACCUUAAUAGCUUCUUCCUCCGUCAUGGACUAGACACCGCAAGUUGGCUUCCAGUGGAACUUCACAUAAUGUGCUUUCCCAGCUUUUUUGAUCAAUUGAUAGGCGUGAAUACCAAAACCUUCCAUGUGUCUGUAAUCUGUCGGUAGACAAACAUCAUCGUAGAAGAAAGUAAACGUAUGCAAACUCUCCGGGAGGAAAGAGAAGAAAUCAAGGAUCCUCCAGUUUUCCUGAAUGUGUGACUUUGGAUUUGGUUUCUAUGCACGAAUCGUGUCGGGGAAUGACCUUGCAUCACGAUUAAAGAAGACGGGGACAUUGUUUCCAACAAGAUUAAAGUCACCCUGAUCACAUAAAUCAACAAUUGAACAAACACAAUCCAAGAAAGCCAGUAAGUUCAUGUGAAGUUAACUACAAGGUAGCUAUCCCUCUGGUGUAAAAUUUGACAGCAAAACCGCAAAUGUCCCUGAGGGAGUAUAUCUCAAAUAUUUUAAUAAUCCAAUUAUUGUGGCUUAUAGUACAUUUUACUUAGUUUUGAAAUAUAUAAAUUUUAUUUUAAAAAAAAAAUUUAGAAGGUUUAUAAGAAUAAUUUAAAAAAUUAAAGAUUUCAUGUCCAAAUUCAUGGUCAAAGUUACAUUGUUUGAAUUUCAACAACAAUAUACCCAAUAAAAUCCCACAACUGCGGUCUGUGAGGGUAAAGUGUACACAGACCUUACCACUACCUCAGGGAGGUAGAGAGGCUGUUUUCGAAAGACUCUCGACUUAAGUGUAGCAAAUCUAGGUACAAAAACAAAAGGAACCCAGUAUAGAUAAUAUGGCAACACGGACAGUGCAGAAUGUACCAUAAAAAAUAUUAAUCAACCACAGGGUAGUGCGAUAAUCAAUCAAAACAUAAUAAACAACAACAAAGACAUAUAUCCACGACUAAAUCUUACGCUACCACAUUACGACUAGUGUACGAAACACUCCUACCUAACCUUUUACUCUAACGUGCGUCUUCCAAAUUCCCUAUCUAAAGUCAUAUCCUCAGUAACUUGCUUGAUAAUCAGAAUAUGUGUCAUGUCAUGUCUAAUUACCUCUCCAAUACUUCUCGGACCUACUAUGUCCAACCUCUCGAACCUCUUUACUGGGGCGUCUAAAUCGCGCCUCACCACAUGUCCAAACCAUCUAAAUCUCGCUUUCCUCAUCUGUUCACCACGGAGGUCACUCUCACCUGAUCUCGAAUGGCUUCAUCCUAAUUCUAUCAAACCUAGUAUGCUCACACAUCAAUCUCAAUAUCCUUAUUGUUGCGGCAUACAUCUUCUGAACAUUGAAAUGUUUGACUGAACAAUACUCUGUCUCAUUGUUUGAAUCUUGAAAAUCAAAAUAUGCCACAUAAAUUGAAACAGAAAGAAUAAUAAAAAUUAAUUUUAUUAUUAAAAAUAGUUCUAAGAAAAAAAGAAAAUUUGUUAGUUCAAUUUUAAAACACUAUGUACUAAAAAUAAUUUGAUACAAUGGGGGCAUUACUAUUUUUUGCUUUAGGCAUUUCUUAAGUCUUCAGUCAUAUAAGUCGGCAGUAUAAACUUCUUAAGACAUAAAGUUCUAAAAAAAAACCUAAACCUUGUAAGGUAUAAUUUAUGCUUUGGCACUAUAAGUUCAGUUUUGAAACUUUAUGUUUCAAGAAAUUCAUAUAUUAGUUCGAUUUUAAAACUUUAUGUUUCAAGAAAUUCAUAUAUUAGUUCGAUUUUAAAACUUUAUGUUUCAAGAAAUUCACACACUAUCUGUUAAUCAUGAAACAUUAUUGCUUUAUCCGCCAUUCCUGGAUUUAAUGUUAAUUAGUGAAGCUGGUAUCGUUAUCAAUACAAGACAACCAAUCCGCUGAUUAUUUAGUUCAUGUUUGGCACUCUGGUUACUUAUAUAUCUCUUUCUAUUGGAUGAAACUAUCUCUCCGACCCCACUUGGUGGGAAUAUACUGGGUAUGUUGUUGCACUGAAUGAAACUAUCCUGAUUUUGUGAAUGCACACGACGUGCAUCAUUCGGAAAGAAAUAAUGCGUGCAGUAAGAUGAUUAGUACAGUCGGUAUCUUAUAUUUGUAAACUCCUCCAUUGCCAGACCCUCCUUGAUUCCUCUACUUAUGUGUAGCAAUCAAGAAGCAUCAUGCUUUUUUGGUUAAGAGUGAUAUGUACAGAUUCUGUUUACAUAACAGGCACUAAUCAAACGGCUUCUGUUCCACGUUAUCGUAGCUAGCUUCUUUGCAGAUGAUCGGGAAGAACCAACAUCAGCAAAUGAUUUCAAGGCAUCACCUUCUCCAUCAAAUGCCAAUCUUGGUGGUUCGACAGGUUCCAAUAGCCCACCAUCACGUGGCACCUCUAGCGAAUCAUCUGGUGGGCAAGGCAGUCCCCUGAAUCAUAGCGGUCCAGUAUGCAACAACGAAGAAGACUGAAGGGAUCUCGAGCAUGCCUUGGAAAUGAGUAGUUAUUAAUGCUCUCUUUUCUUGAUCAAUUGAACUUCUUGUCGCGACUAAAUUCACUGAAGUAGACUGAGGGGAUUGUAAUUUAGCUUUUUGUGUUUCAUCAAUCAUAGGAGAUGGUUUGGCUUUAGCUGUUAUUAUGUACUGUUACCUAGGGACAUCACUUCCCAUAUUAGCCAUCUUCAACUUACAGUGCAUCUUAUUGCAAUUCUGUGAUCUAGAAGAGUAUCAAUUAUGUUGAAAAGGUAAGUGUUAAUUAAUUUUGAAGGAUCGGAAACACUUGCCUUUUCAACAUAAUUGAUACUCUUCUAGAUCACAGAAUUGCAAUAAGAUGCGCUGUAAGUUGAAGAGGGCCAAUAUGGAAAGUGAUAUCCCUAGAUAACAGUACAUAAUAAUAGCUAAAGCCAAACCGUGUCCUAUAACUGAUGAAACACAAAAAGCUAAAUUACAAUCCCCUCAGUCUUCUUCAAUGAAUUUAGUCGCGACAAGAAGUUCAAUUGAUCAGAAAAGAGAAUAACUACUCAUUUCCAAGGCAUGCUCGAGAUCCCUUCAGUCUUCUUCAUUGUUGCAUACUAGACCGCUAUGAUUCAGGGGACUGCCUUGCCCACCAGAUGAUUCGCUAGAGGUGCCACGUGAUGGUGGGCUAUUGGAACCCGUCGAACCACCAAGAUUGGCAUUCGAUGGAGAAGGUGAUGCCUCGAAAUCAUUUGCUGAUGUUGGUUCUUCCCGACCAUCUGCAAAGAAGCUAGCUACGAUAACCUGGAACAGAAGCCGUUUGAUUAAUGCCUGCUAUGUAAACAGAAUCUGUACAUAUCACUCUUAACAAAAAAGGCAUGAUGCUUCUUGAUUGCUCACAUAAGUAGAGGAAUCAAGGAGGGAGAAGGUCUGGGAAUCGAGGAGUUUACAGAUAUAAGAUAUUGACUAUUACUCAGCAUACUGCACGCAUUCUUUCUUUCUUUUCCGAAUGAUGCACAUAGCGUGCAUUCACAAAACUAGGAUAGUUUCAUCUAAUGCAACAACAUACCCAGUAAAUUUUCCACCAAGUGGGGUCUGGGAGAUAGUUUCAUCCAAUGGAAAGAGGUAAAUAAGUAACUAGAGUCCCAAAACAUGAACUAAAUAACAACCGGAUUGGUUGUCUUGUAUAGAUACCAAUACCAGCUUCACUAAUUACCAUUUAACAUUAAAUCCAGGAAAGGCGGAUAGAGCAAUAGUGUUUCAUGAUGAAUGAUCAAUAGAUAGUACAUAUGCUACAUAAAUCGAUAUUUGAAACUUAUGAGGAGGCUAACCUGGACUGGCGAUGCCGCAGUUAGCACACCCGCCACACCACCACCGAAAAUGCGUCCAUCAGAUCUAGCUAAUGACACACUGAAUCCACCUUUUUUGCUUUGUUGACUGCCAAUUUGAGACGGUACAAAUGAACCAGACAGAGACACUAUGUCAAAUCGUCCCUACAGGAGGAAAAUGUCAAAAAGCACUCCAACGCUGAAAUGAUGCAAGGAUAUACAAUACGAAAAGAGCGAUGCAGAAGAGCAGAUAUAUCAACAGACCUGUGUGUUCUAGAAGAGACAAUCAACUAAUUUUAGGCACAGAAUGAAGUUGAAAUUAACGAAUAAGAUUAAAAUGAUACGAACUGCAAAUGGAUUUUGGAAAUAAUAGUAAAAAUAAACACGGGCCGAAUUAAAUAACCACGAACUACUGAAGCUUUAAGUGCAAAGCACAUCAAUGUGUGGGUUUAAGUGAAAAGAAGGGUGCUAAUGAAUAUAAAAAUAAAAAAAUAUAAAACGCAAUGCAGAAACAACUAUAAAAAAAACCAUCAAUUAUUUGGAAAAAAAAAUUGAAAAGUCAUAAUUAGCUGAAGUAUGUGAGUAUGAACGUGAUAUGCUAAAAAAAGUAACAUAUAUUAAGAAGUAAACCUCAUAGGUCACAGUUCCACCAAACAUUUGUCGAAGAGUCACAUUUGUUAUUGCACCAGUGGCAGACAAGAUGCAAACAGCCCUCGGAGCAUUCUGAGAAAACAACAUUAAUUUAUAUGCCACAUCCUGAAAAUCAGAUCGCAAGGAUUAGUAAUGCAAAAUAUACUGAUCUUUGACUUAAUAUCUAGAAAAAUAUCACAAGUGUCCAAACCAUUACAAGGAUCCAAAGGCAACACUGGAAUUCAAUUACAUAAGAUCCACAAGCACCCACAAAAAUCUUAGAUUAAUUAAUUUGACAGGGCAGAAAUUUCUAAUAUAAAUUUCAAAACGAGGAUUCAGUUGUGCAACUCUUGAGGCAAUAAAUUAAAAAGAAAACUUCUAUAAAUUGACAAUAAGAGUCUCUCACCUACCUAUAUAAGCGUAUGUGACUUCAUCAGUCAGCACACCUCUUUUGAUAGCCGCCUGCAAAGUUAAAGACACUAUCUUACGCUUGAAUAAUUACGGUGGCACCUUUUAUAAUGUCAAUUUUGAAAGAAAAAAAUGCUAGAAGUUUUGAAGAUAAACAAAAUUCAUCACAAAAGCUCAAGAUGAAAUAUAUUCAAUUGUUCUAGCGUUGAUGUAAAUAAACUAGAUUAGAGGAGAGAGAUUCCCCCGAUAGUCUAGAUAGGAUCCCUAUAAAAUUCCAUUUGCACAGUCAGGAUCUUCGUUUACUUGUAUUUAUGGUGCUGCCAACUUAGUGUUGAUUAUGUAUAUGUAUGUUACCAAUCAAAAAGAAAAACAAUAGCAGAAGGUACAUUCCUAUUUAAUAUUCCGUUGUGACGACUUUGUGUAUGUAUAUGGACUUCAACACCCUUAUCAUUUAUUGCUAAUUUCAUAAACAAAGAUUCUGAUUGUCCAAAAGAAAUUUACAAGGAUCCUAUCUAAACUAUCAAGGAAUCUGUCUUCUCUAAUCUAUGUCUGUUACAUCAACGAUCAAACAAUUGAAUACAACCCAUUUUGAGCUUUUGUUAGGAAUUUUGCUUACCUUCAAAACUUCUAGCAUUUCUUUAUUUCCAAAUUGACAUUAUAGAAGUCUCCACCCUAAUUACUCGAGAGUCGGAGAGAGUCCUUCAUAAUGCAGGCGGCUAUCAAUAAAGUUGUGUCAGACUGAUGAAGCCACAUACGCUUAUAUACGUAGGCUAGAGACUCUUAGGCAAAAACAUUAACCCUAUAGACUUUUUCAUAAAAUAUGGUAGCCCUACGAAAACUUUUGUAUAUUUUACGAAAAAGUCCUUAGGAUUAAAGUUUUUACAUAAGAGUCUCUAACCUACCUAUAUAAACGUAUGUGACUUCACCAGUCUGCACGCCUCUUUUGAUAGCCCCCUACAAAGUUAAAAGACUAUCCUACGCUUGAAUAAUUACAGUGGCAACCAUUAUAAUGUCAAUUUUGAAAGAAAGAAAUGCUAAAAGUUUUGAAGGUAAGCAAAAUUCAUUACAAAAGCUCAAGAUGAGUUGUAUUGAAUUGCUCUAUCGUUGGGGUAAAUAAACUAGAUUAGAGGAGAUAGAUUCCCUCGAUAGUCUAGAUAGGAUCCCUAUAAAUUCCUUUUACACAGUCAGGAUCUUCGCUUACUUGUAUUUAUGGUGGUGCCAACUUAGUGUUGAUUAUGUAUACGUAUGUUACCAAUCUAAAAGAAAAACUAUAGCAGGAGGUACAUUCAUAUUUAAUAUUCCUUUGUGACGGAUUGGUGUAUGUAUAUGGACUUCAACAUCCUGAUUGUGCAAAAGAAAUUUACAAGGAUUCAAUCUAGACUAUCAAGGAAUCUGUCUUCUCUAAUUUAUUUUCAUUACAUCAAGGAUAGAAUAUUGAAUACAACUCAUUUUGAGCUUUUGUGAUGAAUUUUGCUUACCUUCAAAACUUCUAGCAUUUCUUUCUUUCGAAAUUGACAUAAUAAAAGAUUUCACCCUAAUUGCUCAAGGUUCGAAGAAAGUCCUUCACGAUGCACGCGGCUAUCAAAAGAGUCGUGCCAGACUGAUGAAGUCGCAUAUGCUUAUAUAGGUAGGCUAGAUAUUCUUAGGCAAAAACUUUAACCCUAAGGACUUUUUCAUAAAAUAUGGUUGCCCUAUGAAAACUUCUGUAUAAUUUACGAAAAAGGCCCUAGGGUUAAAGUUUUUGUGUAAGAGUCUCUAACCUACCUAUAUAAGCGUAUGUGAUUUCAUCAAUCUGCAAGCCUCAGCUGCAAAGUUCAAGGCUCUAUCCUACACUUGAAUAAUUACGGUGGGACCUUUUUAUAAUGCCAAUUUUAAAAGAAAGAAAUGCUAGAAGUUUUGAAGGUAAGCAAAAUUCAUCACAAAAGUUCAAGAUGAAUUGUAUGCAAUUGUCCCAUCGUUGAUGUAAAUAAACUGGAUUAGAGGAGACGGAUUCCUUGAUAGUGUAGAUAGAAUCCCUAUAAAUUCCUUUUGCACAGUCAGGAUCUUUGCUUACUUGUAUUUAUAGUGCUGCCAACUUAGCGUUGAGUGUGUAUAUGUAUGUUUUUUCUUUUGAUAACUGAUUAUGUAUACCUAUGUUACCAAUCUAAAAGAAAAACUAUAGCAGAAGGUACAUUCCUAUUUAAUAUUCCAUUGUGACGGCUUUGUGUAUGUAUAUGGACUUCAACAUCCUUAUCAUUUAUUGCUAAUUUCAUAUGCAAAGAUUCUGACUGUGCAAAAGAAAUUUACAAGGAUCCUAUAUAGACUAUCAAGAAAUUUGCCUUCUCUAAUUUAUUUAUUUUACAUCAACGAUAGAACAAUUGAAUACAACUCAUUUUGAGUUUUGGUGAUGAAUUUUGUUUACCUUCCAAACCUGUAACAUUUCUUUCUUUCCAAAUUGAUAUUAUAAAAGGUUCCACCCUAAUUGCUCAAGGUUCGGAGAGAGUCCUUCACUAUGCAGGCAGCUAUCAAAAGAGUCGUGCCAGACUGAUGAAGCCACAUACGCUUAUAUAGGUAGGCUAGAAACUCUUUAGGCAAAAACUUUAACCCUAGAAACUUUUUUCGUAAAAUAUGGUUGUGCAUAUUUUAUGAAAAAGUUCCAAGGGUUAGUUUUUGCCUAAGAGUUUCUAACCUACCUAUAUAAGCGUAUGUGACUUCAUCAGUCUGCACGCCUCUUUUGAUAGCUGCCUGCAAAGUGAAAGACUCUCUCCUAUGCUUGAAUAAUUACGGUGGCACCUUUUAUAAUGUCAAUUUUGAAAGAAAGAAAUGCUAGAAGUUUUGAAGAUAAACAAAAUUCAUCACAAAAGAUCAAGAUGAGUUGUAUUCAAUUGUUCUAUCGUUGAUGUAAAUAAACAAGAUUAGAAGAGACAGAUUCCCCUGAUAGUCUAGAUAGGAUCCCUAUAAAUUCCUUUUGCAUAGUCAGGAUCUUCGCUUACUUGUAUUUAUGGUGUUGCCAACUUAGUGUUGAUUAUGUACAUGUAUGUUACUAUUCUAAAAGAAAAACUAUAGCAGAAGGUACAUUCCUAUUUAAUAUUCUGUUGUGAUGGCUUUGUGUAUGUAUAUGGACUUCAACAUUCUUAUCAUUUAUUGCUAAUUUCAUAAGAGUUCUCUGUUUUAAAUUUAUUCCUUAACAGUUGUGCAAUUGAUUCCUCUGUUUCCUAAAACUUAUAUUAUAAAUUUCUACCCUGUUGAAUUAAUUGAUCAAGCAUUUUCAUGGAUUCUCGUGGAUCAUGUGUAAUAGAAUAUGAAUGAUGAUUUUUGACUCUUUUCUUUCAUUUUUCUUCGUCUUUUUUUAUUUCCUUUUUUGGGUUGGGUUGGG
This 14859-nucleotide long non-coding RNA is filed under the name Capsicum annuum. RNAcentral's name for it is "long non-coding RNA (CANN_LNC018430)". Lineage: Eukaryota; Viridiplantae; Streptophyta; Magnoliopsida; Solanales; Solanaceae. The record is from RNAcentral.